This 1434-nucleotide long non-coding RNA is filed under the name Salvia miltiorrhiza (redroot sage). RNAcentral describes it as "long non-coding RNA (SMIL_LNC001218)". Lineage: Eukaryota; Viridiplantae; Streptophyta; Magnoliopsida; Lamiales; Lamiaceae. The record is from RNAcentral.
UAUUGUUAGGUGACUAACAAUAAAUCAUAAAUGGUUUCAUUAUAAAUGUUCCAACAAUGUAAUCAAUAAUCUUGAUUUGUUUUUCGUUUUUUUUUUCACCUACAAAUAAUUGUUUUUUCAUAUAAAUUACAGUAUAAGACAUAUUAUGUUUGAAUUAUUAAAUGUAAAAAAUAAAUUACUUAAUUUCAUUAGCAUCUAUAUUUAACUACUUUUAAUUUUAAUUCGAGAUUUUUAAUAUUAUAUAGUAUAAAAGUAUUUAAACUUUUAUAAGCCAAAAUUGCUAUUGCAUAAAUUUAUUAACUUAUACUCUCUCCAUCUACAAAAAAUAGUGAUUUUUUUUGUUUUUUUGUCCAAUUUGGGAUGUCCAUAAAAAUUAUCAUGAUUGAUUCAAAAAAAAAUACAAUUAAUUAUUAUUAUAAACACAAUUUUUUAAGUGUGAACAUUUCUCUACUCACAAUACAAUAAUUUCUUUUAUUAAAACUCAUGUCGUUCCUUAUUAGGACUAUUUUUCAUGGACGGAGGGAGUAUAAUAAUAAUAAUGAUAAUAAUAAUAAUAAUAAUAAUAAUAAUAAUAAUAAUAAUAAUAAUAAUAAAUGAUAAAAAUAUAAUUAUACUACCGAAAUGAUAAAUUUUUGUAAAAUUAAAUAAUAUUUUAUAUAAAAAAAAUGAUACUAGUAUAUUACAAAUGACACUAUUAAUGCAUUCAAAUGAUAUUUUUUUAAUAAAAAACAAUGAUAUUUUGUCGAAUGGACCAGGAAGGAUAAGGGAAAAAAAAAUAAAGAACUCGGACCGGGCUAGGGGUGGCAAAUCGUGCGGGUCGGAUCGCUAUCGGGUCGACCUGAUAUCAACCCGACCUGAUAAGGCCAAACCCGAACCCGACCUGAUAAGGGAAUGCUAAAACCCAACCCGAACCCAACCUGAUACAGCUAAACCCGAACCCAACCCGAACCCAACCCGAACCCGAUAACAACCCGAACUCCUUCAGCAGCCGCGCCGAUUGGAACUCCGGGAGAGGGGCGGCGACUCGAAGAAGGGCUGCGCCGGCUGUGAGAGUCGACGUCGUUGCGUCGAGUGCGGGCGGCGGGGCGGGGCAGUGCGGCGGAGUGGAGGCUGGGAGUUGGAACUUGGAAGAAUGGAAAUUCAAAAUUGGAAGGGACGAGCGGCGGGGGAUGGGAUGAAUGAAAUGAAACCCUACUAACCUAAACUAAGAAAAUAAAAAUUUAAAAAUUAAAAUAAAUGUUUAAUAAAAAUAAUAAUAUUAUUAUCGGGUUACCUGAACCGAACCAGACCCAACCCGAACCCGACCCGAAAUUAUCAGGUCCUUAUCAGGUCGACCCGAUAAGGACCCGAACCUUAUCGUGCGUGUUACUAACCCAUUAAUUUCGUGCGGUUUCGUGUCGGGUUAUCGUGUCGUGUCGAAAAUUGCCAGCCCUA